This 304-nucleotide long non-coding RNA is filed under the name Amborella trichopoda. RNAcentral describes it as "long non-coding RNA (ATRI_LNC000053)". The record is from RNAcentral. Lineage: Eukaryota; Viridiplantae; Streptophyta; Magnoliopsida; Amborellales; Amborellaceae.
AGAGAAGUUGUUGUUGAGGGGCAGGGAUGUGAGCUCCGUCUAGACCGGCAAUAAUCUCUCCAUUGCUAAGGGAGAGGGAUGUGAGCUCCGUCUAGACUGGUAAGAAUCUCUCCAGACAGUGCAUUAAAAGAGAGUUUGAGAUAGCGGAGAUGGGUGAAAUUUCAGGUGAUAUUGGCAGGAAGCUUUCCGAAGAGUUUGUUGUUGGUUAGGGAGAGAGUUUCGAGAGAGGACUGGAGACUAUGAUAAAGAGGAGUGAAGGUAAUUUGUUUUUUUUUUUUUCCUCCUAGAGAGAAAUUACUUGGGG